Molecule: ribosomal RNA, 464 nt
Filed under: Vreelandella stevensii
Lineage: Bacteria; Pseudomonadati; Pseudomonadota; Gammaproteobacteria; Oceanospirillales; Halomonadaceae
Description: partial 16S ribosomal RNA
Rfam family: Bacterial small subunit ribosomal RNA
Source: RNAcentral
CCUACGGGAGGCAGCAGUGGGGAAUAUUGGACAAUGGGCGAAAGCCUGAUCCAGCCCUGCCGCGUGUGUGAAGAAGGCCUUCGGGUUGUAAAGCACUUUCAGUGGGGAAGAAAGCCUUGGGGCUAAUACCCUCGAGGAAGGACAUCACCCACAGAAGAAGCACCGGCUAACUCCGUGGCAGCAGCCGCGGUAAUACGGAGGGUGCGAGCGUUAAUCGGAAUUACUGGGCGUAAAGCGCGCGUAGGCGGUCUGAUAAGCCGGUUGUGAAAGCCCCGGGCUCAACCUGGGAACGGCAUCCGGAACUGUCAGGCUAGAGUGCAGGAGAGGAAGGUAGAAUUCCCGGUGUAGCGGUGAAAUGCGUAGAGAUCGGGAGGAAUACCAGUGGCGAAGGCGGCCUUCUGGACUGACACUGACGCUGAGGUGCGAAAGCGUGGGUAGCAAACAGGAUUAAUACCCGGGUAGUC